GGGGGUGUAAUGGCUUCGACAUGUAAUGGGUAUUAAUAACAUCAGUGGUUUGGUAGACCAUAAUACUUCUAGGCUUUAUAGUCGCAAAAGAUAAAAACAAAGUUCAAGUUGAACUAAAACACUUAGUAGCAGCAAACGCUCUACAAAGUCAUUCAAAUCUAGUUUUUGCGUAAUUUGCAAACUAGUGCAGUUAUAAAUUCGCCUUAAUUUAUUACUGUGGUUUAAAGGCUCGGAAUUAAUUUGUGCAAAAUUAAUUCUUAAAAAUAGGCACAACCACAAAUAAGCUUUUGCUUAUUUAGUUUAUUUGUGGCAUAUAAAUAAGCUAAACUGUAAAAAGUGUUAUUAUGUCUCAUUAUGUGGACACGGGUUCAACUCCCGUCAUCUCCACCA
This is a non-coding RNA of 390 nucleotides. It matches the Rfam family "transfer-messenger RNA". Rfam says of the family: Bacterial tmRNA, also known as 10Sa RNA or SsrA, is named for its dual tRNA and mRNA-like properties. Its role is to liberate the mRNA from a stalled ribosome. The record is from Rfam.